RNAcentral lists this ribosomal RNA (253 nucleotides) under uncultured bacterium. RNAcentral describes it as "partial 16S ribosomal RNA". It matches the Rfam family "Bacterial small subunit ribosomal RNA", at positions 524 to 776 of the family's 1533-position model. The record is from RNAcentral.
UACGAAGGGGGCUAGCGUUGCUCGGAAUCACUGGGCGUAAAGGGUGCGUAGGCGGGUCUUUAAGUCAGGGGUGAAAUCCUGGAGCUCAACUCCAGAACUGCCUUUGAUACUGAAGAUCUUGAGUUCGGGAGAGGUGAGUGGAACUGCGAGUGUAGAGGUGAAAUUCGUAGAUAUUCGCAAGAAUACCAGUGGCGAAGGCGGCUCACUGGCCCGAUACUGACGCUGAGGCACGAAAGCGUGGGGAGCAAACAGG